This 253-nucleotide ribosomal RNA is filed under the name uncultured bacterium. Its description in RNAcentral is "partial 16S ribosomal RNA". It matches the Rfam family "Bacterial small subunit ribosomal RNA", at positions 524 to 776 of the family's 1533-position model. The record is from RNAcentral.
UACGUAGGGUGCUAGCGUUGUUCGGAAUCAUUGGGCGUAAAGCGAGUGCAGGCUGUUAGUUAAGUCGGGUGUGAAAUCCCUGGGCUCAACCGAGGAAGUGCAUCCGAAACUAAUUAGCUAGAGAAUGGUAGAGGAAGGUGGAAUUCCAAGUGUAGAGGUGAAAUUCGUAGAUAUUUGGAGGAAUACCGGAGGCGAAGGCGGCCUUCUGGACCAUUUCUGACGCUGAGACUCGAAAGCGUGGGGAGCAAACAGG